GGUGCACAGCGCUGUAGGACUUAUACAAUGCCCCUGGGAGUCUAAAUACAUUUCAAAUGAAAAGUAAAAAGAAAUCAAUUGGAAAGCAGUUUCACACAAUGCUAUGCUUCGACGUUGGCGACAGACAACCUAAACACUUGC
Molecule: long non-coding RNA, 141 nt
Filed under: Chinchilla lanigera (long-tailed chinchilla)
Lineage: Eukaryota; Metazoa; Chordata; Mammalia; Rodentia; Chinchillidae
Description: lncRNA (ENSCLAG00000024222.1)
Source: RNAcentral